GGAGAAGUGUCCGAGUGGUUUAAGGAGCUGGUCUUGAAAACCAGUGACUCCGAAAGGAGCCGUGGGUUCGAAUCCUACCUUCUCCGCCA
This 89-nucleotide transfer RNA is filed under the name Defluviitaleaceae bacterium. Its description in RNAcentral is "tRNA-Ser". It matches the Rfam family "tRNA". Rfam says of the family: Transfer RNA (tRNA) molecules are approximately 80 nucleotides in length. Their secondary structure includes four short double-helical elements and three loops (D, anti-codon, and T loops). Further hydrogen bonds mediate the characteristic L-shaped molecular structure. tRNAs have two regions of fundamental functional importance: the anti-codon, which is responsible for specific mRNA codon recognition, and the 3' end, to which the tRNAs corresponding amino acid is attached (by aminoacyl-tRNA synthetases). tRNAs cope with the degeneracy of the genetic code in two manners: having more than one tRNA (with a specific anti-codon) for a particular amino acid; and 'wobble' base-pairing, i.e. permitting non-standard base-pairing at the 3rd anti-codon position. RNAcentral also lists the same sequence under 1 other name. The record is from RNAcentral. Lineage: Bacteria; Bacillati; Bacillota; Clostridia; Lachnospirales; Defluviitaleaceae.